CCCUUAGAUGUUCUGGGCCGCACGCGCGCUACACUGACGGAUUCAACGAGCUUACAACCUUGGCCGAAAGGUCUGGGUAAUCUCCAAAAUCCGUCGUGAUGGGGAUAGAUUAUUGCAAUUAUUAAUCUUCAACGAGGAAUGCCUAGUAAGCGCAAGUCAUCAGCUUGCGUUGAUUACGUCCCUGCCCUUUGUACACACCGCCCGUCGCUCCUACCGAUUGAAUGGUCCGGUGAAGCGUUUGGACUAUGGUUUUCUGAUGGUCCGCCGUUGGAUUACCGUGGGAAGUUCGUUAAACCUUAUCAUUUAGAGGAAGGAGGAGUCGUAACA
RNAcentral lists this ribosomal RNA (327 nucleotides) under uncultured eukaryote. RNAcentral describes it as "partial 18S ribosomal RNA". It matches the Rfam family "Eukaryotic small subunit ribosomal RNA", at positions 1470 to 1796 of the family's 1831-position model. The record is from RNAcentral.